UCCGGUGUCGGGGCUCGGUCUGGAGCGCGAAUGAAGAAAGAGAGAAGAGACAGCGUAGAGUCUACGGGGAAAGGCCGUCCAGAGCUGUUGGUCUCGAUACUGCUUCCCGCUCUGACUUGGAGGAGAGGUCUCGAGAUGCCAAGAUUCUGCAUUCAAACUAUGAGGAUGAAAAACAAGCUCGCUGCACUCAGUGAUUUCCUCUGCCUUCAAGUUCACCAUGCAACAUUAGGAAAAAGCCAGGGACCUUCCUGGUACCACUGCCUUCUUUGAAGAAGGGUUCAGAAGUGUGGGCCAGAUUUUCACACUGCUUACAGGAAGCUCAUGACUGCCAUAGGAAAAGAGACUAAAUACAUAAAUAAAUGAAUGGAGAGCACAGGGUCUGGUGACACAGAUUCCCCUGGGGACAAAGGAAAGACAGUUACCGUUCUCUCUCAGUCCACUGAGAACGUGUAAAAGAACCAGCAAAGUGUCAUGUCCUCUGCUAUCCCCUUGUGUAGACCGGACCAGAGCAGUGUCGAAAGGAAGAAUAUGCUACGUAAUCUUUUUAAGUGCUAGGCUACAAUGCCGCAGCAAGCUGUGACUGGUUUCUCUUACAGCAAAACCAACAGGGGAAUGAAGGUAUCUGAAUAAGAGAUCCCUUCUAAAAAUACCGAUCCUCUUGUACGGCUGGAUUGACAUCACUACCGGGAAUUAAGAUAAUUAAUUUGAGGGGGGGAAAAAAAAAACACUUGAAAUUGUGCCCAGCUGCUCUUAAGAUAUCUGCAAUCCUUGUUUAUUUCUUUGUUUUAUAUCCUUUUGAUCUCUAGCUUAGAAAAAUAACAGAAAGGAGUCAUACAAUAAUGCUUUGUAGCCUAUGGCAUAUUCCAUUUCAGGAUCCUAACAAAAGGUCGGUAGGCAUAUAAGAAUAGUUUCAGUGUAAGUUUAGUUCAGUCUGGAAGAGCUUUUCAGUUCCCUAUGGGAAAAUAGAGCAAAUUAGUUCGAGAAAGAGUAACAAAACAAAGAGUGCUUGAGGGACCUAGGAAGGCAGGCAGCAAGAUCCUUCAGUUAGCCAGUCUGGCAAUUAACUCAUCACAAAAAAAGACUUCUGCGGCUUUCCCGGUGACUAACAGACCCUGCCAGCGAGGUCUCUUAAGCUGCAGGGUAUGGCAGCCUCUCCUGGUGCAUGCGUUCCACCCCUGGUGAAGGACUCUGCAUUUCCCUUUGUUGAACUUGAGGAGAUUUUGAUGGCCCAUUCCUGCAGCCUGCCCAGGACUCUAGAAACAGACCUACAGUUAUAAGCCAGGCCUAAGAAACUGACAGACUUUCUUCUUCUAGAUAGAAUAAGGCUAAGAAAGUUGAUGGAAGUGUGUAUGGGAUGGUGUUGAGAAGCAUCUUCCUGACUGCUCUAGACUGCAAUAAACAAGAGAGAAACAUGUAAUGCUGCUGAAGGACGGUGAAGAGAGGAAGAUCAGCUACCAAGCCAUAUGAUGAAUCCAUUUAAGAAAAACUUGGGGGUCUGAGAAGAACUUGUGGGUUCUGGUAGACAAGAAGCUGCACAUGAGCCAGCAGUGUGCGCCUGC
This is a long non-coding RNA of Lagopus leucura (white-tailed ptarmigan), 1559 nucleotides long. RefSeq lists it as uncharacterized. The record is from RefSeq and is a predicted model, not a curated record. NCBI's taxonomy places the organism in Eukaryota, Metazoa, Chordata, Aves, Galliformes, Phasianidae. The transcript has 5 exons.